UUCGGUCUGGCGACGAGCGGCGAACGGCUGAGUAACGCGUAGGAAUGUGCCCCAAAGUGAGGAAUAAGCAUCGGAAACGGUGUCUAAUGCCGCAUAUGAUCUUCGGAUUAAAGGAUUUAUCCGCUUUGGGAGCAGCCUGCGUACGAUUAGAUAGUUGGUGAGGUAAAGGCUCACCAAGUCGACGAUCGUUAGCUGGUCUGAGAGGAUGACCAGCCAGACUGGAACUGAGACACGGUCCAGACUCC
Molecule: ribosomal RNA, 245 nt
Filed under: uncultured bacterium
Lineage: Bacteria
Description: partial 16S ribosomal RNA
Rfam family: Bacterial small subunit ribosomal RNA
Source: RNAcentral